UUGGAAAAGCUGUAAGUCCUACCCUACAGAGACAGCAGGGUUUGAAAUCAGAAGGAUGAGCUGAAGAAACAAAGAGAACACUUUACAGAAAUGCACGUAGGUGUGCAUGUGGGCAUUAAACUUUUCACUAAGGAGAAACACAAAAUACAGCACUUGGGAGUAACUGACUGAGCAAAAUACAAGACGGGAAAGGACUGAUUGGGCAGCAGUUCCACACAAGGGAUCAGAGGUCACACACCAGACAUGCGUCAGCAGUGCCACUAGGUUGCAAGAAAAGCAAAUAUCGUCCUGGAAAAGUGUCAAUAGGAAGGCUUUGUUCAAGUGGAGUACCGUGUCCAGUCUAAAGGAUUAGUUCCAGGAACACCAGGAACCAAGUGGACAGAGCACAGAGGAAAGUGCGUAGAGCUCUCUGAGCCUGGGAAACAUUGGAACGACCCGGCCGUUCAUCUACAAGUGAAAACACUGUGGGGAAACAUGGUAAUGAGCUUCAAAUGUCUAAAGGUUAUAGCAGGAAGAACAGACUGAAGUGGACUAAAAUUGCGACCAGGGAGAAUAAGGUUAGACAUUAGGAAGAGCUUGCUAUCAGGAGGGCAAUUAAUGGAACCAAUUCCUUGGAGAGGCUGGAAAGAAGUUUCUGAGAAUAUGAUAGACACAUCUGUUUCAAGAAUGGAUCGGGCCUCCUUAGAUACGCCUUGAGAGCAGAAGAUGGACAAGCUGACUUUUCAAGGGCUAUUUUCCCUGUCUGUUCACCAUGACUUCUUUAAUGCAACGUUCAAAAAACCUUUGAAUUUCUCCAGAAGCAAAAUACAGACAUGUCUGCAUCAUUUGAGGGUGGUUUUUUUUCAGUAUAUCUACUGCUCUCCAAUUAAAAAUGACUGCCUCUAAAGUUAAAAAUAGAAGUCCAAAACCAACACCUCUACAUCAACUGAGAGAAAAGAUACAAAGCAGAAAAAUAGCUUUUGGGGAAUCAAUAGAAGUAUUUUCUAGAAUAGAAGAAAAACAGUAACAAGAUGAGUAUUCAGAACCUUCAUGAAUGAGUUACUGCCAGACUAAAGUAAAUGAAUGCUAAAGACUUUUAUAAAGACUUGCUUCAUGACAAAGCAGAUGAUCAGGCUUUAGCAAAAUUGCACUGCUUUUUUCUGUAGAUACAACAUUUUAGAAUAAAAUAUUUAAUUCAUUCUUCUAACUUAAUAAUUGCAGCUACUGAGAUGGAACAGAUUAAUUAUUCUAACUAUUUUAAGCCCAGCAGUAACAGCAAGGAGUCUUUAGGCUUCCAGCUAACCAUGAUCUGCUCUCUGGACUCCAAGAAAUAAAAGUUUUAAAUGUUCAGCACAGCACUGGGAAUGAGAGACUGUGAUCUAGAGCACCAACCCUCAAGUCCGCAUGUCCCUGAGGGAACCACUGCUCUCACUGAUAUCCAGGACUACAAGUGACACACUGAAUGAAGCUAAAAAAAGUGGAGAUCACACCAUCCUGUGUUCCUUCUCCUCUUCCUCUCCUUUGCACUGCAGAGCACACUAUGUACCUGCACUCAGUCCAGCUGCAAGAAUAGUUAUCAACCACCAGAUGUUUGUGAUCACAAAUUUAGCAAAAUGUACUACGUCCAGAGCUGAGCUGAUGAAAGACACAUGAGCAUUCUUCAUGCAUUUCAUGUAAAAUAGCUUGGGUUAUUUAAAAAUAACUUUGAAAUCUAUUGACUUUGUGCUGAAACCAAUGAAGAAACUUCACAUGAUGGGUACUGCCAGUUUGACUGAGGGAGCAGUAACACCUCAAGGUAGCAUAACCUUUCUGCAACAAGUUUCUCAUCAUGGCAUUAAUGUGUGUUUGGAACCUAAGACCAUGCUUGGCUCAAAAGGAUUACACCAUCAAAGACAGUGGCUACGAAGAACUGACUGAAGAAAAUCCAGAUGCCUACCCACUCAGAUUUACACAACCAAUUAUAUUACCAGUUCAGCAUUCCUCCAUUCCUGGCUUUUGCAUGAUUAGCCAAAGAUAGAUAAAAGGCUGAAUUAGUCAUAUAAGUUCUGAUAAAGAGUCACAGAUUCAUUAUAUCAACUUCAUACAUUUCAUGGGCACAUAAUAACAAGGAAAUGUGUAACUUCUACUGCUGGAAUAUUUUUUGUAAUAAUCAUGUGGUCUCAUUUGGGGGUUAUCAUCUACACAUGGCAGUGUGUAUGACUGUAUCUGCACGUACAGAAGCAUGAAACCAGAUUAAGCAAUAUUCUAAAGCACUACAAUCCUACAUGCUUUGCAAAAUACUUGUAUUUGUACAGUCCUUCUUUAAACUAAUAGAGGUAGAAUACUGCUUUUUAAGUAAUUUGAUAAUAAGAAAUAUGAAACGUUGAGAUAAGAUGUUGUAAUAAAUAUGCUGGCAUGUUUUAUACUCUGUAACUAAUAUAAAACCUUACCAUUGUU
Numida meleagris (helmeted guineafowl) is the source of this 2415-nucleotide long non-coding RNA. RefSeq lists it as uncharacterized. The record is from RefSeq and is a predicted model, not a curated record. The transcript is spliced from 2 exons. Lineage: Eukaryota; Metazoa; Chordata; Aves; Galliformes; Numididae.